CGGGUGAGUAAUGCAUAGGAAUCUGCCCGRUAGUGGGGGAUAACCUGGGGAAACCCAGGCUAAUACCGCAUACGUCCUACGGGAGAAAGCAGGGGAUCUUCGGACCUUGCGCUAUCGGAUGAGCCUAUGUCGGAUUAGCUAGUUGGUGAGGUAAUGGCUCACCAAGGCNACGAUCCGUAGCUGGUCUGAGAGGAUGAUCAGCCACAUCGGGACUGAGACACGGCCCGAACUCCUACGGGAGGCAGCAGUGGGGAAUAUUGGACAAUGGGGGCAACCCUGAUCCAGCCAUGCCGCGUGUGUGAAGAAGGCUUUCGGGUUGUAAAGCACUUUCAGUGGGGAAGAAGGCUUUCGGGUUAAUACCCCGGAAGAAGGACAUCACCCACAGAAGAAGCACCGGC
This 398-nucleotide ribosomal RNA is filed under the name Billgrantia campisalis. RNAcentral describes it as "bacterial SSU rRNA". It matches the Rfam family "Bacterial small subunit ribosomal RNA", at positions 103 to 497 of the family's 1533-position model. Lineage: Bacteria; Pseudomonadati; Pseudomonadota; Gammaproteobacteria; Oceanospirillales; Halomonadaceae. The record is from RNAcentral.